AUUUGAUAAUAUGGCAGAAUAGUGCAAUGGAUAUAAGCUCCAUAUAUAAAGUAUUUUACUUUUAUUAGAACUAACAA
This 77-nucleotide transfer RNA is filed under the name Sarcophaga albiceps. RNAcentral describes it as "tRNA-Leu". Lineage: Eukaryota; Metazoa; Arthropoda; Insecta; Diptera; Sarcophagidae. The record is from RNAcentral. RNAcentral also lists the same sequence under 1 other name.